Molecule: ribosomal RNA, 443 nt
Filed under: uncultured organism
Description: SSU rRNA
Rfam family: Eukaryotic small subunit ribosomal RNA
Source: RNAcentral
GGAGAAGGAGCCUGAGAAACGGCUACCACAUCCAAGGAAGGCAGCAGGCGCGUAAAUUACCCAAUCCUGAUACAGGGAGGUAGUGACAAUAAAUAACAAUGCCGGGCCAUCAUUGGUCUGGCAAUUGGAAUGAGAACAAUUUAAAUCCCUUAUCGAGGAUCAAUUGGAGGGCAAGUCUGGUGCCAGCAGCCGCGGUAAUUCCAGCUCCAAUAGCGUAUAUUAAAGUUGUUGCAGUUAAAAAGCUCGUAGUUGGAUUUGUGGCGUACGGUGUGUUCCGGGCACUUGUUGUCUGAGUAACCUGCCGUUGCCAUCCUUGGGUGGAACCUGUGUGGCAUUAAGUUGUCGUGCAGGGGAUGCCCAUCAUUUACUGUGAAAAAAUUAAAGUGUUCAAAGCAGCUUAUGCCCGUUGAAUAUAUUAUCAUGGAAUAAUAAGAUAGGACUUG